CUUGAACUGACACUGGCUGUCACCUAGCAGUUCACGUGAGGUGGAGUUGGGGAGUUAAACUGGUAGAAAGCUCAGCCUUUAGCAGCAGCAGAAGAAAAAAACGGAUUAGUUCUUAGUGGUUUUAGCUCACCGAACCAGGUCAUCAGGAUUUGAUGAGUACCAGUGGCACUGCUGGGGAUGGGGUAGAAAAGGCACGUUGAAGAGGGGCAAGAUCCCCUUUAGAAGGGCAGCGGCAAGACGGCAGCGCUGCGGUGGAAGGCAACCAACGAGGUCACGCGGCUUUUCACAAGGUCUGCCUGUGGGUAGGGAGAGACUUAAUCCGAACAACUGCAACCCAAAGAGCAAAGGUUUCCAGCAGCGGGUACUCUGGGGGGCUGCUUUUAUCUAUCGGUUCGUUAAUCUGCUGAGAUGCAUGACUCCGUGAGGCUGCGGUCGGAUCCGUCUCGCCUCGUGGUCAAGCGCUGACGAGUUUGCCCAGGCUGGCGAGUGAGUUUGGCUUCUAAUGCUGCUGCAACAACAAGCCCCUCCAAAAAAUUGGUUCGUGGAGGCCGCCAAUGAGCAAUCUCAGGAAUCUCUCCUUUUUUGAUACAGUAGUCAGAGCUGGAAGACUGUACGUGUGCCUUGUUAAAGUGGAUACUUUUUUUGGCUAGUUUCUGACCCUUUGAGCCUCUUUUAAAACAAUGGCAUUAUUUUCAAAUCAAAUUUUAUAAAAUGAACAUUGGCGUUGUUAAGAAGAGAUCAAAAUUUACAUAAGACUUCUAUUUAACCUAUUACCUAUGAAAAUUUACUUCAGGCUGAAACUUGUUUUCCAAAGUUUACAGCAUACAAAACAAAUGGUUUUUAAAAUUUCCUUACUUAGGAGUACCUUAAAUUGUGUUUUCUAAAAGGGGAAAAAAAAAUCUUGGAACCUUACCAGUUUAAUUUGCAUUUUGGCUCUGAUGUAACUCAAAAUAGAUUAGAUUAAAAAAGGAAAUUUGGCAAGUGAUUACUCAAUUACAUGAUUUUACUGCUUUGGUAUUUUGAAAAUAAAAAUGAACAGAUCUGUUUU
Molecule: long non-coding RNA, 1048 nt
Organism: Pygoscelis adeliae (Adelie penguin)
Lineage: Eukaryota; Metazoa; Chordata; Aves; Sphenisciformes; Spheniscidae
Exons: 2
Source: RefSeq, a predicted model, not a curated record